GAAAGUAAGCAUUGAUUAAAUGCCUUAAACAGAUUGAUGUGGCUUCAAGGGGAAAUUCAGGAACCAAUUAACAUUCUAGUCUAGUGAUGUUAAAAAUACAUUUAUUCCUAUUCCAUGGCAUAUAUGUAGAUUUUCCAGUUUGUGACAUCAGAAGUUGGGAAGGAUACUGAAACAUUUUCCAUGACAACCAAGAUCCAAAAGGGUUUUAAAAUGGUCCAAUGAUGUGCCAAAUCUAAUAAAAAAAUCUAUAAAAAUAAGGAUCUAGCCCUACUGUUGUUAAACAAAAUCAGCUUCACAAUGAAAGCAUUGAGCCUUACUAGAGAGUAGUGUGUGUUUCAAAUGUUGUGAGGAUAUCAGGGACUCUAAGGACGCUCUUAAAAUGGGGCAGCUUGGUGGGAAUUCUCCUACAUUGGCCUUGGAGCUGGGAAGAUCUGCUUUCAAAUCUUGCCUCACUAGCUGUAUGAGCCUGAGCAGAUGACUUAAUCUCUGUGUGCUUCAGAAGGAGGUAAGGCUUGAUGACAUGUAAGGUCUCUUCAUACUCUAAAUCUAUGACAACCUUCUGAUCACCAUCCUCUGGCUGCCUUGGAGUCGUUUGCUGGCAGGAGGAGUGAGUAGACUGGCUCACAGCAUUCUGUUUCAGUUAGACCACAUGGGAACCACUCUGUCCAGUUCUAGGUUUCACAUUUUAUGUCAGUCCUUGAUAAAAUAGGUAUGGGAACUGGUGUUACAUGAGGGAGAAUGACUUGGGAAAAGCAGAGAAAACUCCAUGGGGACAUGAAAAUAGAUUCAAAGUAUUUGCAGGCUAAAGAGGGAUUAGUAUUAUUUUAGGGAGACCCAAAGAGCAGAAGCAGGAAAAUGAGGUGGAAGGUGCAGUCACCUAACAGCUUUAGAGCUGGCCAAAGGAUGAAUAGGUGGCUUCAAUGGGUUUCGAAAAAUCGAAUCUGCUGGGACAGGUCCCUCUUCAAGAGCAUUUCUUUAAGGAAAAGCUGGACAAUUGUCCAAGAUGUUUUAGAGGAAAUAUUGAGUUUGGAGUUAGGCAAAAUGGACCCUGACCCUCUUCCAGCUCUGAGAGGGUGAUAUUUUGCUUGAAAGAUCACACACAUUAAUCCAUUUGGAAAACAGUGAGGGAGACAUUCUGCGAUAUAUUAUGGACAUUCAUUUUAGAACUCCUUUUCUUCUGACCCUGACUAGUUUCUGAGGUGCAUUCUUUCCCAAGAUUGGGGCAAUGUGUCAUUGAAGGAAAAACUGUUCAGGCCUCACAUGGUAGAGGCGGGCGUACGGAAGGAUCAAGGAUCAGAACAGAAAUGUUAUCGGCUAGACUUUCACUGUGAAGAAGAUGAGAAUGAAUGUGACCUCUCCCUGGGACAGAUGACACAUUGUCAAUGAUUUUCUUUGGAUUGGUGGCCACGUUUUGGCAGCUCAGGGAUCUUUUGGAGAAAAAUGAAAGGGGAAAGAAGAAUUGCAUGAAGGGAAAAAACAGGAUUUUGAGAGCAGGCUGGAAUUGAAGAAGUCAUCUUGUCCAACCAUCUGACCUGAGAAGGAAACUGACUUCAGAGAAUCCGGGUAACUAAGACACAGAGGGGCACAUUUGGGACUAGAAUCCAAAUUUUCUGAAUUUCUGAAGUGUUGUUUCAAGGACAUGUUUCAUUCCUCUACUUUGCUUUAUUAUGCUACUAAAUAGUUAUACUGGAUUGGUGGUAAGAACAGGAUUUCACAUUUUGAAAUAUUGUUUCUCCUACUAUUCCUUGGACUUUGGGCAAAGGAUUUUCAAGAGUCUCAGUUUUCUUUAUCUGUAAAAUGGGAAGGAGGAUUGGAUUAGAAACUAGAAGAAUUCCAUAUUUUGUUCUAGUCUUAAUCAGCUAUAAGUUAAUUUCCUCAUUUUGUAGAGGUUUCAUUUACUGCCUCCAAGUAACUAUAAGGGAGGAAUUUUACUUGUAAUAGGCUCUGUAAGUAAAUGUUUAUCAUUGUUUAGCAAGCCUAUAAAAGAUUUUGUAAAUUGGCUCUGCCUUAUUGAUCAUUAUCUUUCAAACUCUCUACUAUAAUUAAAGGAAAAUUAAAGCUGAUGAUUGCUAAUGUGACAUUUUAGGGCUGGCUCAGUGGAAAUGGAAUAGUGUUGUCUAUCUGUGGUCCAAAACCAUCACCAAUCCAAUUCCAAAGUACUGCAGUGGUAAUUGAAAGCUAGAGGAUGUUGCUUCAGCAGAAUUGAAGAUGGAGAUUGAAAGGAGAGGAUGUCAAAAUGCAGCAAAACUUAAAGCACUUCCUUUCCAAAUUCUGGGCAGAUCGAACAUUGUCACUGUCUGAUCAGUGGAGAUGGUCCAAAGGAUGCAGUUACUAAGAAAGACCUUCAAAUGUUCUGCUACUUGAGAAAGAAAUUGAAAGGAAAAAAUGAAAGAAAAAGAACUCUACAAAACCCAAAAGUACUAGUGUGUGAGUUUCACAACAGGAUUUUUUUCCCCAUCACAAGUUUUUAGACUCAUUUAUAUUCUUGGACAAUCCAAGGGUCCAUAUCGCUGGGUAGCUUAUAAAAUUAGUUACAACUUCCAGAUUUGGCUCUCUGUGUGAGGUAAGUUUUAUAAGCUAGCCUGGGACACUCAGUGCAGCAUAUCGGAGACCAGAAUGCAGCCCAAGAGGAUAACAUUUCAACAUGGUUUUCAGAGUAACUGGGUUUGAAAUUCUUGUAAUAGUUUAUAGGACUUGUUUGUCUAGCUGUUUGUGUUAUACAAGGAAAAAUUCCCUUUUGUUGUAUCUGUGGAAGCUAGCAAUAAACUUUCUUUUUAAAGACAUAUAAAAUGAAUUUGAGUUUUUAUAUUCUUGAAGUCAAAAAAGCUGAAACAUCUCAAACUCAAAUUUGCAAACGCUUUAGUUAAGGAAUCAUAUUUCAAGGCUAGGUUUUACUUUCCCUGAUCACUGUUAAAUCACAAUGGUUUUACAACAGAUGGAUACAACUCAGCAUCUACCUGUUUCUCAGAGGAGCCUUUGUCCUGAGGAUUUUAAAGAGAUGUUGGAAAAAUCAUUAAAAUAACAUGUGUUCCCCCAAUUUUAUUUUUCUUCUUUUUCUUGUUGGCUAUGCAUAUUGUAUGGCAUAUCGCAUAUAAAUAUCAAAUGAUUAAUCAAUCAAUAAAUAUAAGUAUUCAUCAAGUGACCUCCAUACACUAUUUUAAAGAGGAGGAACCUGAGACUGAGUUAAAGGACAUGCAGAGCCACAUAGUGUCUGAGGUGAUUUUUGAACUCUGCUCCUCCUGAACUCCAAUAUCCUGCUAUACAUAUGCACUGUACCACCUAGCUGCUUAAUAUUUUAAAAAAUAAUUAAUGAAUUGCUUAUUUUAUAUAAUUAAGGAUAGUUAAGCAGUCCAGAGAUAAGGUAUUAUACAUCUAGAAAGUUUUAUUUAUUUAUUUUAGCGGAUAUUUUGUCUAAGAAAAAUCAAAGUAACUAAUUUUAAUGCCAAUGUACUCUAGUCUUACAUGUUCUAAAACUAAAACAAUAAUAGUGAUGAUAAUUAUGAUUAAUAGGAUUUAUUUUAAAAUGACAAAAUUAUGAAAGAAUCUUAAAAUCCUUUUCUUUCCUUUGGCUACAAAUAUUACAUCAUGUAACAUAAAAUGCUAGUAGUAUAAAAUUUCACAUUUCAUAAAUAAAUUCAAGGAUUUGAAAUGUACAAGUUUUAUAUUUCUAACUUCCUCUUUCUUUCUUGUCAGUGAGUCUAAUGUAACAAGAGAAAAAUGGUCAGUAGAGGCAGCUAGGGGGUAGAGUGGAGAGAGCACUGGACCUUGAAUCAGGAAGACUGGCUGAAAUCCAGCCAUCAACUCUUACCUAUCUCCCUCAGUUGCUAUGAGGAUCAAAUGAGAUAAUGUUUGUAAAAUGCAUAGUACAAUUCCCAGCUCAUAUUAAGCAUUCAAUAAAUCCUUUGCCCCCACCCUCCAAAGGGGAAAAAUUUCUCUUAACUAAGUCUCUCCUUAGCCUAGAUUUAGUUCAUCGUUCAACAAAUAUCUAUUGAUUAUCUGUUGCCCUCAAGAUACUUUGCAAGGCACAAUGAGAAAUACAGAGAUAUUAAAGAUUGGCUUCAAGGAACUAGCUAUCUUUCAAAAGAAGAUCUAGAUAGGUGUGUUUGAUUCCAUGAGAGCUGAUGAGAGCAGAAGUAAUUUUUAUUUUACUUAAGAAUAAUUGUUUUUAACUAUGAUUAAAU
Molecule: non-coding RNA, 4181 nt
Organism: Monodelphis domestica (gray short-tailed opossum)
Lineage: Eukaryota; Metazoa; Chordata; Mammalia; Didelphimorphia; Didelphidae
Source: RefSeq, a predicted model, not a curated record